Molecule: ribosomal RNA, 354 nt
Filed under: Triticum aestivum (bread wheat)
Lineage: Eukaryota; Viridiplantae; Streptophyta; Magnoliopsida; Poales; Poaceae
Description: partial small subunit ribosomal RNA
Source: RNAcentral
AUGUUGUUCUACCCUUUUCAUUACCAUGCUUUCCUUGUCAUAUUGCAUUUGUGCUUCUUGUCAUAUUCCUUAUUGCCACCAUAUGUUUGCAUCAUGUGCAUUUCAUGUUGUGUUGUGCUUAUGUCUACUUGCAUUUCCACGAUAUGCAUGCAUGAUAUGUUGUUGCAUGUUCUAUGUGUGAUUCAUGCAUCACCACCUCUCCUUCUCUUUCUUUCUUUUGCGAGUUCCAUUUUACCCUCCUCCAUUAAUGUUCAACUUUCCCUCAUUAUUCUAUCCCCAUGUCCAGAACCUCUCUGCCAAAUUUCAGCUCAUUUGGAGUUGUGUUGGUUAGCUUCAAAAAUGCUCCAAGUUUGA